CCGAUGGGCGAGGAGGGCUGGCGAGCGGGCCCAGCCUGCGCCGCCGCGCUGCCUCCCGCCAGCCGCGCCGGGCAGCGGGCGGAGCGGGGAGGUGCGGGGGGAGCCCCGGCUGCUGCGGCCGCCGCCUCCCGCCGCUCCGCCCGCGCCCCCGCGCGCCGCCGGGACCCCCGGGCCGCCGGGACCCCCGCCACGGCGCUCCCCUUCGCCCCCGGCCACAGCCCCGCGCUGCCUUAAACCGCCAGGCCAAAUUCAACGUAAAUCAGGAAAAGAGGGUGGUCUGAACGGGGAAGGCCACCGGCGGGACCCCCAGCCUUGCCUUUGCCCGUGGGUACCACGGCACACCGACCCAGGGCCACACAAACCGCUCGCAAAGGAUCAGUGAGCAGAGACCCGACCAGAGCUGCUCAAACACCUUGUGCAAAGGCUUCGGCUGGCAGGUGCCUAGUCCUUUCCUCAAAAAAGACCCUACUGAAAUAUUGCACCAGGUGAAACCUCACCCAGCUCAGGGCUGAUCCAGCAGACUCAGCAGCGACCCACCAGCCCUGGCCCUUUGCGGGAGCGAUGCACGCGGGACAUGCAGCUACUUCCAGCCAUGCUCUCCGGCCAGCAGCGGUCCUCUGGGGAUUUCCAGAGGGCUGAGAGCUCCUGCGACUUGGAAAUGGCUCUGCAGAAGUGGUGCAUGGAUAUUUUUUUCAGAAAGGGAGCCCAGCUCAGCCAAGAGACCUGCCACUGAGGAAGAUGACCUAGCGGGGAUGCUGCACUCCCCAACUCUGCAUUGGAUUUGCUAAUGGUAUCAGUAAAACACUUUAAGCACA
This is a long non-coding RNA of Dromaius novaehollandiae (emu), 815 nucleotides long. RefSeq lists it as uncharacterized. The record is from RefSeq and is a predicted model, not a curated record. NCBI's taxonomy places the organism in Eukaryota, Metazoa, Chordata, Aves, Casuariiformes, Dromaiidae. The transcript is spliced from 2 exons.